UACAGAGGUCUCAAGCGUUGUUCGGAUUCAUUAGGCGUAAAGGGUGUGUAGGUGGCGCGCUAAGUCGGGUGUGAAAUUUCGGAGCUUAACUCCGAAACUGCAUUCGAUACUGGCGUGCUUGAGGACUGGAGAGGAGACUGGAAUUCAUGGUGUAGCAGUGAAAUGCGUAGAGAUCAUGAGGAAGACCAGUGGCGAAGGCGGGUCUCUGGACAGUUCCUGACACUGAGACACGAAGGCCAGGGGAGCAAACGGG
This 253-nucleotide ribosomal RNA is filed under the name uncultured bacterium. RNAcentral's name for it is "partial 16S ribosomal RNA". It matches the Rfam family "Bacterial small subunit ribosomal RNA", at positions 524 to 776 of the family's 1533-position model. The record is from RNAcentral.